AACGAACGCUGGCGGCAGGCUUAACACAUGCAAGUCGAACGAUGUAGCAAUACAUAGUGGCGCACGGGUGAGUAACGCGUGGGAAUAUACCAAUCAGUGGGGAAUAACUUUGGGAAACUAAAGCUAAUACCGCAUACGCCCGAGAGGGGAAAGAUUUAUCGCUGAUUGAUUAGCCCGCGUGAGAUUAGGUAGUUGGUGGGGUAAUGGCCUACCAAGCCUACGAUCUCUAGCUGGUCUGAGAGGAUGAUCAGCCACACUGGAACUGAGACACGGUCCAGACUCCUACGGGAGGCAGCAGUGGGGAAUAUUGGGCAAUGGAGGGAAACUCUGACCCAGCCAUGCCGCGUGAAUGAUGAAGGCCUUAGGGUUGUAAAGUUCUUUCGCCGAUGAAGAUAAUGACGGUAGUCGGAGAAGAAGCCCCGGCUAACUUCGUGCCAGCAGCCGCGGUAAU
This 451-nucleotide ribosomal RNA is filed under the name uncultured bacterium. Its description in RNAcentral is "bacterial SSU rRNA". It matches the Rfam family "Bacterial small subunit ribosomal RNA", at positions 29 to 524 of the family's 1533-position model. The record is from RNAcentral.